CGAGACUUAAGUUAGCAUUCAAACUGAGGGCCUUCAAAGCCCCUAACGAGAGUGAAAAUCUCUCAGUCUCUG
This 72-nucleotide transfer RNA is filed under the name Plectorhinchus lineatus (yellowbanded sweetlips). RNAcentral describes it as "tRNA-Trp". It matches the Rfam family "tRNA". From Rfam's summary of the family: Transfer RNA (tRNA) molecules are approximately 80 nucleotides in length. Their secondary structure includes four short double-helical elements and three loops (D, anti-codon, and T loops). Further hydrogen bonds mediate the characteristic L-shaped molecular structure. tRNAs have two regions of fundamental functional importance: the anti-codon, which is responsible for specific mRNA codon recognition, and the 3' end, to which the tRNAs corresponding amino acid is attached (by aminoacyl-tRNA synthetases). tRNAs cope with the degeneracy of the genetic code in two manners: having more than one tRNA (with a specific anti-codon) for a particular amino acid; and 'wobble' base-pairing, i.e. permitting non-standard base-pairing at the 3rd anti-codon position. The record is from RNAcentral. RNAcentral also lists the same sequence under 5 other names. Lineage: Eukaryota; Metazoa; Chordata; Actinopteri; Lutjaniformes; Haemulidae.